Non-coding RNA from Pelobates cultripes (western spadefoot toad), 288 nucleotides. The record is from the annotation of a GenBank genome assembly. Lineage: Eukaryota; Metazoa; Chordata; Amphibia; Anura; Pelobatidae.
CUUCGGUGUGAUUACGUAUCUUGUGCAGUAGAGUUAUGACCUUCCUGGUGUUAUCUGACCCUUGCCUCCCUUUGAUGAACCCCACCUGGUCGUUGUGUAUUAUGUGGGGUAGCACGGAUCCCAAUCUCUUGGCGUAUAUUUUUGCUAGUAACUUUGCGUCCGUGUUGAGAAGUGAUAUGGGUCUAAAGUUCUGUGGUGUUGUUGGUGUCUUGUUCGGCUUCGGAAGUGUCACUAUGUGUGCUAGCAAUAUGUCGUUAGGGAGAGAUUGGUUGAGUAUUGCUUCGUUAA